RNAcentral lists this ribosomal RNA (2341 nucleotides) under Chthonomonas sp. UBA2362. Its description in RNAcentral is "bacterial LSU rRNA". It matches the Rfam family "Bacterial large subunit ribosomal RNA", at positions 816 to 2925 of the family's 2925-position model. The record is from RNAcentral. Lineage: Bacteria; Bacillati; Armatimonadota; Chthonomonadia; Chthonomonadales; Chthonomonadaceae.
GUCCGGUGAAAUGCCAAUCGAACGCAGAGAUAGCUGGUUCUCCCCGAAAUGCAUUUGGGUGCAGCGUUACGUGUUUUCAUACGGGGGUAGAGCACUGAAUGGGCUAGGGGGCCUACCAGCUUACUGAACCCAACCAAACUCCGAAUACCGUAUGAUUAGCGUAGCAGUGAGACUGCGAGGGAUAAGCUCCGUGGUCAAAAGGAAAACAGUCCAGAUCGUCAGCUAAGGGCCCUAAACAUAGACUAAGUGUGAAACGAUGUGAAGUCGCGUAAACAGCCAGGAGGUUGGCUUAGAAGCAGCCACCCUUUAAAAAGUGCGUAAUAGCUUACUGGCCGAAUGUGACUUUGCGCGGAUAAUGUAAGGGGGCUAAAGUCUAUUCCCGAAGCUACGGGAUCCCGCAAGAGCGGUGAUCGGUAGGGGAGCGUCCUGUUCUGCGGUGAAGCCUGAGCGUAAGCACAGGUGGAGCGUACAGGAGCGAGAAUGCAGGCAUGAGUAGCGAUCACAGGGGUGAGAAUCCCCUGCGCCGAAAACCUAAGGUUUCUCCGGCUAUGUUCGUCAGACGGAGGUUAGGCGGUCCCUAAGGCGAGGCCAGAAGGCGUAGCCGAUGGACAUCCGGUUGAAAUUCCGGACCUUGGUGCAGUAGCGAUGGAGGGACGCUUCUAUAGGUUCCAUCCCACACCGUUGGUUGUUGUGGGCUACCGGGAUAACCCAGCCGUUUAAUAGAUGGCUUUUCAAAGGGUGGGGCCGGGGGGAAGGGAUGGCUUCGGCUUGAACGAACUGGGACUGAAGGGGGCCGAGAAAAGCUUCUAAGCAUAUACUGCAUCAAACCGUACUGCAAACCGACACAGGUAGGUGAGUCGAGGAGACUCAGGCGUUCGAGAGAACUCUCGUUAAGGAACUAGGCAAACGAGCCCCGUAACUUUGGAAGAAGGGGCGCCCCGCAAGGGGCCGCAGCGAAGCAGCCCAGGCGACUGUUUACCAAAAACACAGGUCUCUGCUAAGACGAAAGUCGAUGUAUAGGGGCUGACGCCUGCCCAAUGCCAGUCCAUUAAGCGGAGAUGUCAGGAGCAAUCUGAAGCAUUGAAGUGAAGUGCUGGUGAAUGGCGGCCGUAACUCUAACGGUCCUAAGGUAGGAAUUAAUGCAACUGCCUUAGUAAAAUCUAGCUAUAUGCUGGGAAGUCUGAGUAUCUCGGAUUACGAAUCGAAAGAUCGUGACAAUAUCCGAGCGCAGAUCAUCAGCAGGAAAGAUCCCGACCCUGUCGGGAAAUCCUCAGAGGCCAUACGCUAGAUAUUCGAAGGAUGGCACCUUCGGAUAAAGAAAUGGUCCCAUCUGCAUGGCGACAUGCAGGGAUGAUCCAGCUCAAGAUGGAUCGUCCACUCGAUCAUAAAGGUCGAGCAAGACAAUGAGCGAAAUUCCUUGUCGGCUAAAUACCGACCCGCAUGAAAGGCGUAACGACUUGGGCACUGUCUCAACGAGAAGCUCGGUGAAAUUGUAGCACCCGUGAAGAUGCGGGUUCCGCGCAGUAGGACGGAAAGACCCCGUGGAGCUUUACUACACCUUCAGAUUGUAAGCUGGUUGUAGAUGUAGAGCGUAGGUGGGAGCUUCGGCAUCAAUGGAACACCACCCUUCUACAUCUGGUUUACUAACCCGCACCGUUAUCCGGUGUGGAGACAUUCUGUGGCGGGUAGUUUGACUGGGGCGGUCGCCUCCCAAAAAGUAACGGAGGCGUACAAAGGCACACUCAGCCUGGUCGGAAAUCAGGCGUCGAGCGUAUAGGUAUAUAGUGUGCUUGACUGUGAGACAAACAAGUCGAGCAGGGACGAAAGUCGGUCUAAGUGACCCUCUGGUGGUGCGUGGGCACGCCAGGGUUCAUCGGAUAAAAGCUACCCCGGGGAUAACAGGCUGAUCUUGCCCGAGCGCUCACAGCGACGGCAUGGUUUGGCACCUCGAUGUCGGCUCGUCUCAUCCUGGGGCUGUACACGGUCCCAAGGGUUCCGGAGUUCACGGAUUAAAGAGGCACGCGAGCUGGGUUCAGAACGGCGUGAGCCAGUUCGGUCCCUAUCCACUGCGCGCGUAGGAUAUUUGAGGGGAGUCGCUCUUAGUACGAGAGGACCGGAGUGAACCGACCUCUGGUGUACCAGUUGUGCCGCCAGGCGCAGACGCUGGGUAGCCACGUCGGGCCGUGAUAAGCGCUGAAAGCAUCUAAGCGCCAAGCACACCCCAAGAUUAGAUAUCCCAUUUAGAAGUAAGGCCCCUGGAAGAUCACCAGGUAAUAGGUCGCAUGUGGAAGCGUGGUAACACGUGCAGCUGAGCGAUACUAAUAGGCCGAGGGCUUACAAA